Molecule: small RNA, 316 nt
Filed under: uncultured bacterium
Lineage: Bacteria
Description: bacterial SSU rRNA
Rfam family: Bacterial small subunit ribosomal RNA
Source: RNAcentral
GAAAGCGACCUUCGGGUCGUUAGUAGAGCGGCGCACGGGUGAGUAACACGUGGGUAAUCUACCCUCAGGACCGGGAUAACCAGGGGAAACUCUGGCUAAUACUGGAUAAGACCACGCGACGAGAGUCGUGCGGGAAGAGCGGAGGACCUCUUCGGAGGCUUCGUACCAGAGGAUGAGCCCGCGGCCCAUCAGCUAGUUGGCGGGGUAAUGGCCCACCAAGGCGAAGACGGGUAGCUGGUCUGAGAGGAUGAUCAGCCACACUGGAACUGAGACACGGUCCAGGGUCCUACGGGAGGCAGCAGUGGGAUCUGCAGAA